GAUGAACGCUGGCGGCGUGCCUAAUACAUGCAAGUCGAGCGAACAGACGAGGAGCUUGCUCCUCUGACGUUAGCGGCGGACGGGUGAGUAACACGUGGAUAACCUACUUAUAAGACUGGGAUAACUUCGGGAAACCGGAGCUAAUACCGGAUAAUAUAUUGAACCGCAUGGUUCAAUAGUGAAAGUCGGUUUUGCUGUCACUUAUAGAUGGAUCCGCGCCGCAUUAGCUAGUUGGUAAGGUAACGGCUUACCAAGGCGACGAUGCGUAGCCGACCUGAGAGGGUGAUCGGCCACACUGGAACUGAGACACGGUCCAGACUCCUACGGGAGGCAGCAGUAGGGAAUCUUCCGCAAUGGGCGAAAGCCUGACGGAGCAACGCCGCGUGAGUGAUGAAGGUCUUCGGAUCGUAAAACUCUGUUAUUAGGGAAGAACAAAUGUGUAAGUAACUAUGCACGUCUUGACGGUACCUAAUCAGAAAGCCACGGCUAACUACGUG
RNAcentral lists this ribosomal RNA (497 nucleotides) under uncultured bacterium. Its description in RNAcentral is "partial 16S ribosomal RNA". It matches the Rfam family "Bacterial small subunit ribosomal RNA", at positions 28 to 507 of the family's 1533-position model. The record is from RNAcentral.